RNA transcript from Brachypodium distachyon (stiff brome), 1819 nucleotides. It is a transcript of the gene named protein TRANSPARENT TESTA GLABRA 1, with no coding region annotated. Lineage: Eukaryota; Viridiplantae; Streptophyta; Magnoliopsida; Poales; Poaceae. The record is from RefSeq and is a predicted model, not a curated record. The transcript has 3 exons.
GGACGGGUGAUUCGUCGGUUCCCCCGUGCGCCGUGCACUGCGCCCAGAGACCGCACAGUCGUUGUUCAACCCCCGUGCCAGGCCGCCGCCGUUCAACUGCUAGACGCGGCACGCGCGUCUCGAAGCUUCCUACCCAGUGUCCCAGCACCCCGACCCACUCCCCUAUCUGGCGUGUCCUGGUAAAAUAGCCACCCAGCGGCGAGUCCACCCGCAGACCUGAUCCACCCGAAACAAAGCAAAUCCUCCAAAAAACCAAAGCAAAUCCUCGAUGGACCAGCCGCAGCCGCAGCCAUCGGCAGCCGGGGCGGACACGACGGCGAACAACCCGCACGCCUUCACGUGCGAGCUCCCGCACUCGAUCUUUGCGCUGGCCUUCUCCCCCUCCGCGCCCGUCCUCGCCGCCGGCAGCUUCCUCGAGGACCUCCACAACCGCGUCUCCCUCCUCGCCUUCGACUCCGUCCACCCCUCCGCCACCUCCUUCCGCACCAUCCCCGCCCUCUCCUUCGACCACCCCUACCCACCCACCAAGCUCCAAUUCAACCCACGCGCCGCCGCUACGCCCCUCCUCGCCUCCUCCUCCGACGUCCUCCGCCUCUGGCACACCCCGCUCGACGAUCUCUCCCCCUCCGCCCCCGCUCCCGAGCUCCGUUCCGUCCUCGACAACCGCAAGGCCUCCGCCUCCGAGUUCUGCGCGCCCCUCACCUCCUUCGACUGGAACGAGAUCGAGCCCCGCCGGAUCGGGACUGCAUCCAUCGACACCACCUGCACCAUCUGGGACAUCGACCUCGGCGUCGUCGAGACGCAGCUCAUCGCGCACGACAAGGCCGUGCACGACAUCGCCUGGGGCGAGGCUGGCGUCUUUGCGUCCGUCUCCGCCGAUGGAUCCGUCCGAGUCUUCGACCUCCGGGACAAGGAGCACUCCACCAUCGUCUACGAGAGCCCCCGCCCAGACACGCCGCUCCUCCGGCUGGCCUGGAACCGCUAUGACCUACGGUACAUGGCCGCUCUGCUCAUGGACAGCAGCGCCGUCGUCGUGCUCGACAUACGCGCGCCCGGGGUGCCCGUGGCCGAGCUGCAUCGGCACGGGGCGUGCGUUAACGCGGUCGCCUGGGCACCGCAGGCCACGAGGCACCUCUGCUCGGCAGGUGACGACGGGCAGGCGCUGAUCUGGGAGCUGCCCGAGGCGGCGGUGCCUACCGAGGGGAUUGAUCCGGUGCUUGUUUAUGACGCUGGUGCGGAGAUAAACCAGCUGCAGUGGAUUGCCGCGCAUCCGGACUGGAUGGGCAUUGCCAUUGAGAACAAGGUUCAACUUCUCAGGGUCUGACCAGUUAUCAGACCAAUAUUUUAUGGCUAUCCUUGAUGCUAGCCGAACAAAGUUUUUGGGUUCAACUCCCUGUCUCCACCUGAACCGUGAAAUCAGUCAACAAACAAGACCUUUGUGGGAAGUCUUCCUUCAUUUCCCCAUUGCAUCGUUUAAUUGUGCCACUGUGAUCUGCCCCUCGCUGCUGUCUUAUUCAGUGCUGAAAACAGUGGGAUAAAGAACAACGCUUGAUUCUAUGGGGCCUUUGGACUUCAGACGAUCUGUCUACAUGCAUCAAGUUCUGGCAACCUGUUGGCAAAUUUAGUGCGCAAUUAACCAUCGUAGAGUUAUUCUGCUGAGCUACAGGCCUACAACAGAAGUGUAAUGCAGAGUCUGUUGUCAGUAGAUUCAUCUCUCCAUGAACAUAGACAUAAGUCUAUAGCAUCUGUUACUGUUUGUAAAGAGUUUGGGAGGUUGGCUCUUAGUUAUGCAGUAUACUUAUCUGUUUCUUUCGGUUCA